Molecule: ribosomal RNA, 253 nt
Filed under: uncultured bacterium
Lineage: Bacteria
Description: partial 16S ribosomal RNA
Rfam family: Bacterial small subunit ribosomal RNA
Source: RNAcentral
UACAGAGGGGGCGAGCGUUAUUCGGAAUUAUUGGGCGUAAAGGGCGCGUAGGCGGCUUUUCAAGUGACGGGUGAAAUCCCUCGGCUUAACCGAGGAACUGCCUGUCAGACUGGAAGGCUUGAGACCGGGAGAGGUGAGUGGAAUUCCCAGUGUAGCGGUGAAAUGCGUAGAUAUUGGGAGGAACACCAGUGGCGAAGGCGGCUCACUGGACCGGUACUGACGCUGAUGCGCGAAAGCGUGGGGAGCAAACAGG